CCGGGGUGCCGCGGGCUGCGAGCGGGCCUGCGGAGCCGGGGGAAUGCAGGCUCGCUGUGCCCUGGGCAGCACGGGGAGGCUCUCCCUGGCUGGGUGCUGUGAGAGCUGCGGCGUUGAUGGGUUGGGAAGUGUAUGAGGGAAUUUUCAGGUGUUGCAAGAGCUUUGUUUGUCCAUCAUUGGGCUCUCGACCCCACUCUGUCCCCAAGUUGUCUUCUUCCUGAGACCCGCAGUCUCUGCAGUACUCCACUUGUUCUAGACCAGACUUCCAGCUCGGAAGAGAUGGAUUGCCUUUGGUAAUACCCUCAUCCUAUCUUUUCACGUUGCUAACACAAGAAAAGAAGUAAUUCUCAAAAGCUGCAGGAAAAUGUGUUUAAUACUUGUAGAAAUACAUUCUCUCUUAAGGAAGGCCUACAGAAAGCAUCAGGAAGAUCCUUGACCUCAGACACAUUCAAGGACCUCAGAUGAAAUACUAGUUUCUGUUCCCUUCACAGAGCUUGGACAGCAAAGUUUGAUGGACUUUGUUUCAGCUAUUUCAGUGCUUCUGCCUUGCAGAGGUAGUCAGGAAGGAAGGGACAAAGUUUGAGUCACAUUUCAUUAAAAUCAGUCUAAAGCGUGAAGAUUAAAAAAUAUUUACAUCUUUAUGCUUUGCUUACAGAAAAGGAUCUUUGGGGUCUUAAUCUAGAAAAUUUCCAUCUCUGAUUUGUGACAGUAUGUCUCUUAAAAGUUCUGUUAUCUAAUAUAUAUAUAUCUCCAUUAAUCCAAAAUUAGCCUAAUGGAGGAUGUUUCUGUAAGUAAAUUCUAUCACCUUGCCAAAAAUAAACGUAGUAGUUAUGUAGCCA
This 839-nucleotide long non-coding RNA is filed under the name Lonchura striata (white-rumped munia). RNAcentral's name for it is "domestica (Bengalese finch) lncRNA (ENSLSDG00000018154.1)". Lineage: Eukaryota; Metazoa; Chordata; Aves; Passeriformes; Estrildidae. The record is from RNAcentral.